Dioscorea cayenensis subsp. rotundata (Guinea yam) is the source of this 91-nucleotide small nucleolar RNA. RefSeq annotates it as small nucleolar RNA snoR109. The transcript has a single exon. NCBI's taxonomy places the organism in Eukaryota, Viridiplantae, Streptophyta, Magnoliopsida, Dioscoreales, Dioscoreaceae. The record is from RefSeq and is a predicted model, not a curated record.
CGGCUGCAGCCAUAUCAAUUGGGAAGAAACACUGGUCGGCUCGCUGUUUUAUGGAUCAAUCGGCGACUCGCUUACCGAUCUUCCCACAUUC